UUGAAGAGUUUGAUCAUGGCUCAGAUUGAACGCUGGCGGCAGGCCUAACACAUGCAAGUCGAGCGGUAGCACAGGAGAGCUUGCUCUCUGGGUGACGAGCGGCGGACGGGUGAGUAAUGUCUGGGAAACUGCCUGAUGGCGGGGGAUAACUACUGGAAACGGUAGCUAAUACCGCAUAAUGUCUUCGGACCAAAGAGGGGGACCUUCGGGCCUCUUGCCAUCAGAUGUGCCCAGAUGGGAUUAGCUAGUAGGUGAGGUAAUGGCUCACCUAGGCGACGAUCCCUAGCUGGUCUGAGAGGAUGACCAGCCACACUGGAACUGAGACACGGUCCAGACUCCUACGGGAGGCAGCAGUGGGGAAUAUUGCACAAUGGGCGCAAGCCUGAUGCAGCCAUGCCGCGUGUGUGAAGAAGGCCUUCGGGUUGUAAAGCACUUUCAGCGGGGAGGAAGGCGGUGAGGUUAAUAACCUCAUCGAUUGACGUUACCCGCAGAAGAAGCACCGGCUAACUCCGUGCCAGCAGCCGCGGUAAUACGGAGGGUGCAAGCGUUAAUCGGAAUGACUGGGCGUAAAGCGCACGCAGGCGGUCUGUUAAGUUGGAUGUGAAAUCCCCGGGCUUAACCUGGGAACUGCAUUCAAAACUGACAGGCUAGAGUCUUGUAGAGGGGGGUAGAAUUCCAGGUGUAGCGGUGAAAUGCGUAGAGAUCUGGAGGAAUACCGGUGGCGAAGGCGGCCCCCUGGACAAAGACUGACGCUCAGGUGCGAAAGCGUGGGGAGCAAACAGGAUUAGAUACCCUGGUAGUCCACGCUGUAAACGAUGUCGAUUUGGAGGUUGUGCCCUUGAGGCGUGGCUUCCGGAGCUAACGCGUUAAAUCGACCGCCUGGGGAGUACGGCCGCAAGGUUAAAACUCAAAUGAAUUGACGGGGGCCCGCACAAGCGGUGGAGCAUGUGGUUUAAUUCGAUGCAACGCGAAGAACCUUACCUACUCUUGACAUCCACAGAAUUUGGUAGAGAUACCUUAGUGCCUUCGGGAACUGUGAGACAGGUGCUGCAUGGCUGUCGUCAGCUCGUGUUGUGAAAUGUUGGGUUAAGUCCCGCAACGAGCGCAACCCUUAUCCUUUGUUGCCAGCGAUUN
This 1134-nucleotide ribosomal RNA is filed under the name Pectobacterium carotovorum subsp. carotovorum. RNAcentral's name for it is "bacterial SSU rRNA". It matches the Rfam family "Bacterial small subunit ribosomal RNA", at positions 1 to 1127 of the family's 1533-position model. The record is from RNAcentral. Lineage: Bacteria; Pseudomonadati; Pseudomonadota; Gammaproteobacteria; Enterobacterales; Pectobacteriaceae.